UACGGAGGGUGCGCGCGUUGUUCGGAAUCACUGGGCGUAAAGCGCGUGUAGGCGGCCUCCUAAGUCUGGUGUGAAAGCCCGGUGCUUACCCCCGGAAGUGCACUGGAAACUGGGGAGCUAGAGUACCGGAGAGGAGGGUGGAAUUCCUGGUGUAGCGGUGAAAUGCGUAGAUAUCAGGAGGAACACCGGUGGCGAAGGCGGCCCUCUGGACGGAUACUGACGCUGAGACGCGAAAGCGUGGGGAGCAAACAGG
Molecule: ribosomal RNA, 253 nt
Filed under: uncultured bacterium
Lineage: Bacteria
Description: partial 16S ribosomal RNA
Rfam family: Bacterial small subunit ribosomal RNA
Source: RNAcentral